Molecule: transfer RNA, 75 nt
Filed under: Blautia argi
Lineage: Bacteria; Bacillati; Bacillota; Clostridia; Lachnospirales; Lachnospiraceae
Description: tRNA-Trp
Rfam family: tRNA
About the family: Transfer RNA (tRNA) molecules are approximately 80 nucleotides in length. Their secondary structure includes four short double-helical elements and three loops (D, anti-codon, and T loops). Further hydrogen bonds mediate the characteristic L-shaped molecular structure. tRNAs have two regions of fundamental functional importance: the anti-codon, which is responsible for specific mRNA codon recognition, and the 3' end, to which the tRNAs corresponding amino acid is attached (by aminoacyl-tRNA synthetases). tRNAs cope with the degeneracy of the genetic code in two manners: having more than one tRNA (with a specific anti-codon) for a particular amino acid; and 'wobble' base-pairing, i.e. permitting non-standard base-pairing at the 3rd anti-codon position.
Source: RNAcentral
AGGGGAUUAGUUCAAUGGUAGAGCACCGGUCUCCAAAACCGUCGAUGGGGGGUUCGAAUCCCUCAUCCCCUGCUA